AGUGAACGCUGGCGGUAGGCCUAACACAUGCAAGUCGAACGGCAGCACAGUAAGAGCUUGCUCUUACGGGUGGCGAGUGGCGGACGGGUGAGGAAUACAUCGGAAUCUACUUUUUCGUGGGGGAUAACGUAGGGAAACUUACGCUAAUACCGCAUACGACCUACGGGUGAAAGCAUGGGAUCUUCGGACCUUGCGCGAUUGAAUGAGCCGAUGUCGGAUUAGCUAGUUGGCGGGGUAAAGGCCCACCAAGGCGACGAUCCGUAGCUGGUCUGAGAGGACGAUCAGCCACACUGGAACUGAGACACGGUCCAGACUCCUACGGGAGGCAGCAGUGGGGAAUAUUGGACAAUGGGCGCAAGCCUGAUCCAGCCAUACCGCGUGGGUGAAGAAGGCCUUCGGGUUGUAAAGCCCUUUUGUUGGGAAAGAAAAGCAGCAGGUUAAUACCCCGCUGUUCUGACGGUACCCAAAGAAUAAGCACCGGCUAACUUCGUG
Molecule: ribosomal RNA, 492 nt
Filed under: uncultured bacterium
Lineage: Bacteria
Description: partial 16S ribosomal RNA
Rfam family: Bacterial small subunit ribosomal RNA
Source: RNAcentral